RNAcentral lists this ribosomal RNA (468 nucleotides) under uncultured bacterium. RNAcentral's name for it is "partial 16S ribosomal RNA". It matches the Rfam family "Bacterial small subunit ribosomal RNA", at positions 28 to 507 of the family's 1533-position model. The record is from RNAcentral.
GACGAACGCUGGCGGCGUGCUUAACACAUGCAAGUCGAACGGAAAGGCCCUGCUUUUGUGUGGUGCUCGAGUGGCGAACGGGUGAGUAACACGUGAGUAACCUGCCCUUGACUUUGGGAUAACUUCAGGAAACUGCGGCUAAUACCGGAUACGAGCUCCUGCUGCAUGGCGGGGGUCGGAAAGGUUCGGCGGUUGGGGAUGGACUCGCGGCUUAUCAGCUUGUUGGUGGGGUAGUGGCUUACCAAGGCUUUGACGGGUAGCCGGCCUGAGAGGGUGACCGGCCACAUUGGGACUGAGAUACGGCCCAGACUCCUACGGGAGGCAGCAGUGGGGAAUAUUGCACAAUGGGCGGAAGCCUGAUGCAGCAACGCCGCGUGCGGGAUGACGGCCUUCGGGUUGUAAACCGCUUUCGGCUGUGACGAAGCGUGAGUGACGGUAAUGGGUGAAGAAGCACCGGCUAACUACGUG